Long non-coding RNA from Pezoporus flaviventris, 830 nucleotides. RefSeq lists it as uncharacterized. The record is from RefSeq and is a predicted model, not a curated record. NCBI's taxonomy places the organism in Eukaryota, Metazoa, Chordata, Aves, Psittaciformes, Psittacidae. The transcript is spliced from 2 exons.
GUUAGAUUUAUUCUCAAUUACCUUUAUGCAGAUGUUGGUUUGGGGAUGCACCUGUGGAGCUACUGGUGACUCACGUCCAGUGCAAGUGGGUGUAUUCACUGGCAGCAGAUGUCUGCAUUCAAGACAUGUUUUUACCUGGAUUCAAAGCUCUCAUUCAGACCUGAUUUCAUUUCUAGAAGAGCAUUUGUGUCUACUUCAUGGUUAGCCUUCCCUGGAAGAGGGAUUCCAAGGGGGAUCACCUGAGGAACUGGGACAGAGACAGCUGCCACUUUCUCCACAGUGCUCUGGAAAGAAGAAAAACAAAAAAGCAGACAAUAAUGUUUCUGAACAGAAGAAUGCAUUGAGAGAUACGGUCUUUGAAUGGGAUUCCUGUCUUCAUUUGUUUCUCUUCAAAGAGAGAACACCAGAUUCUUCAAAGUGUUGUUCUUCAUGGCAUGAUUUUCACAUUGGAAAGGAUCAAGGUCCUAACAACCAUCCCAAUUCCAGCUUACUCUCUUGUUGCAGAACUGUGAACAAAGCUUGAGAUGAGCACUGGUGCUUUCAUUUCACUUUGACCUUCCUUGCUCAAGUCUGGUUCCUAUGUGUUCCAGGGAAACAGCUUUAGCAUCAUACAUCAGUGCUACAUGGUAGGAGGGAGUCCCAGGGAAGCCUCUCUACCCUAAUGACACAUUGGAGCCAGCCUCUUGUUUCAUUGCAGCCAUCUGAAUAGACACAAGAUCUCCUGCAAAGGGCUAAAGAAAGACAACCAUUGCUUACGCUUAUCUCAGCUUCUGCACGCAUUAAGAACAUACCUAUCAAACAGGUGCCAAACAUGACUUAUCAUCAUUUAA